Long non-coding RNA from Myotis brandtii (Brandt's bat), 412 nucleotides. RefSeq lists it as uncharacterized. The transcript has 2 exons. Lineage: Eukaryota; Metazoa; Chordata; Mammalia; Chiroptera; Vespertilionidae. The record is from RefSeq and is a predicted model, not a curated record.
CUUAUGAUUUAGAUAAUCAAUAAAGUACUUCCAUUUUAGAACUAUUAGGUCAUGAGCAAAAUGGAUGGAGCAAAGAGAUCUGUGUUAAGACUGUGAAAGAUGGCAAAAUAGUGUGAACUGCUGAGAGCCAAAGGAGAGAGAAGCCAAUCUGAAACAAUCAGGAACUAUCAGGUUGAAAGCUCGUAUGUCCAAUGAUUACAGUGGAACCCCUGUUCUGGAACUUACUUCAUUCUGGAAGGCUAUUUGAGAAGCAAUUUGUUCGAAAACCAAAUCAUUCUUUCUCAUUAGAAAUCAUGUAAGUUGAAUUAAUUUAUUCUAGAUCCCUAAGUGAUUCCCUAUUUAACCUUUCUUAUAUACAAUAGGUCUAAUAUCCUGUUUAACCUAUAAACAAAUACUUCUUUUCUUAAAUUUA